This 197-nucleotide ribosomal RNA is filed under the name uncultured bacterium. Its description in RNAcentral is "partial 16S ribosomal RNA". It matches the Rfam family "Bacterial small subunit ribosomal RNA", at positions 328 to 539 of the family's 1533-position model. The record is from RNAcentral.
ACGCUCGACACCUACUGGAGGCAGCAGUGGGGAAUAUUGCACAAUGGGGGAAACCCUGAUGCAGCGACGCCGCGUGAGCGAAGAAGUAUUUCGGUAUGUAAAGCUCUAUCAGCAGGGAAGAAACUGACGGUACCUGACUAAGAAGCACCGGCUAAAUACGUGCAGCAGCCGCGGUAAUCUGAGCGGGCUGGCAAGGC